This 271-nucleotide ribosomal RNA is filed under the name uncultured prokaryote. Its description in RNAcentral is "partial 16S ribosomal RNA". It matches the Rfam family "Bacterial small subunit ribosomal RNA", at positions 524 to 794 of the family's 1533-position model. The record is from RNAcentral.
UACGGAGGUUGCAAGCGUUGUUCGGAAUGACUGGGCGUAAAGGGAGCGCAGGCGGCCAAGUCAGUCUGAAGUGAAAGCCCGGGGCUUAACCCCGGAAUAGCUUUGGAUACUGCCUGGCUUGAGUGUGCGAUAGGAAAGCGGAAUUCCAGGUGUAGCGGUGAAAUGCGUAGAUAUCUGGAGGAACACCGGUGGCGAAAGCGGCUUUCUGGCGCAUAACUGACGCUGAGGCUCGAAAGCGUGGGGAGCGAACGGGAUUAGAUACCCGGGUAGU